This 200-nucleotide ribosomal RNA is filed under the name uncultured bacterium. RNAcentral describes it as "partial 16S ribosomal RNA". It matches the Rfam family "Bacterial small subunit ribosomal RNA", at positions 524 to 723 of the family's 1533-position model. The record is from RNAcentral.
UACAGAGGGUGCGAGCGUUGUUCGGAAUUACUGGGCGUAAAGGGCGCGUAGGCGGUUCGGUAAGUAGGGGGUGAAAUUCCACGGCUCAACCGUGGGACGGCCUUCUAGACUGCCGGACUUGAGCACGGUAGAGGCAGAUGGAAUUCCCGGUGUAGCGGUGGAAUGCGUAGAGAUCGGGAAGAACACCAGUGGCGAAGGCG